Molecule: ribosomal RNA, 426 nt
Filed under: uncultured bacterium
Lineage: Bacteria
Description: bacterial SSU rRNA
Rfam family: Bacterial small subunit ribosomal RNA
Source: RNAcentral
UGGGGAAUCUUGCGCAAUGCGCGAAAGCGUGACGCAGCAACGCCGCGUGGGGGAAGAAGGCCUUCGGGUUGUAAACCUCUUUCAGUUGGGACGAAGUGUGAGCGGUGAAUAGCCGUUUCACAUGACGGUACCUUCACAAGAGGCCCCGGCUAACUACGUGCCAGCAGCCGUGGUAAUACGUAGGGGGCAAGCGUUGUCCGGAAUCAUUGGGCGUAAAGAGCGCGUAGGCGGCCCUGUAAGUCCGCUGUGAAAGUCAAGGGCUCAACCCUUGAAUGCCGGUGGAUACUGCAGGGCUAGAGUCCGGAAGAGGCGAGUGGAAUUCCUGGUGUAGCGGUGAAAUGCGCAGAUAUCAGGAGGAACACCGAUGGCGAAGGCAGCUCGCUGGGACGGUACUGACGCUGAGGCGCGAAAGCGUGGGGAGCAAAC